Molecule: ribosomal RNA, 122 nt
Filed under: uncultured archaeon
Lineage: Archaea
Description: partial 16S ribosomal RNA
Source: RNAcentral
CGCAAUAAUGCUGGCACGCGACAGGGAACAUCGAGUGCCAGCUUACUAAUGCUGGCUGUCCUGAUGUGUAAAAUACAUUUGUAGCAGGGCCGGGCAAGACCGGUGCCAGCCGCCGCGGUAAA